This 232-nucleotide ribosomal RNA is filed under the name uncultured bacterium. RNAcentral's name for it is "partial 16S ribosomal RNA". It matches the Rfam family "Bacterial small subunit ribosomal RNA", at positions 99 to 334 of the family's 1533-position model. The record is from RNAcentral.
CGGACGGUUGAGUAAUGUCUGGGAAACUGCCCGAUGGAGGGGGAUAACUACUGGAAACGGUAGCUAAUACCGCAUAACGUCGCAAGACCAAAGAGGGGGACCUUAGGGCCUCUUGCCAUCGGAUGUGCCCAGAUGGGAUUAGCUAGUAGGUGGGGUAAUGGCUCACCUAGGCGACGAUCCCUAGCUGGUCUGAGAGGAUGACCAGCCACACUGGAACUGAGACACGGUCCAG